UGCCAGCAGCCGCGGUAAUACGAAGGUGGCAAGCGUUGUUCGGAUUUACUGGGCAUAAAGGGCGAGUAGGCGGUCUGGCAAGCGGCGUGUGAAAUCCCGGGGCUCAACCCCGGAACUGCACACCGAACUGCCAGGCUAGAGGACGAGAGGGGGGUGUGGAACUCUAGGUGUAGCGGUGAAAUGCGUAGAUAUCUAGAGGAACGCCGGUGGCGAGAGCGACACCCUGGCUCGUCCCUGACGCUGAGGCGCGAAAGUGUGGGGAGCAAACAGGAUUAGAUA
RNAcentral lists this ribosomal RNA (279 nucleotides) under uncultured bacterium. RNAcentral describes it as "partial 16S ribosomal RNA". It matches the Rfam family "Bacterial small subunit ribosomal RNA", at positions 506 to 784 of the family's 1533-position model. The record is from RNAcentral.